RNAcentral lists this ribosomal RNA (351 nucleotides) under uncultured bacterium. Its description in RNAcentral is "bacterial SSU rRNA". It matches the Rfam family "Bacterial small subunit ribosomal RNA", at positions 917 to 1269 of the family's 1533-position model. The record is from RNAcentral.
GGGCCCGCACAAGCGGUGGAGUAUGUGGUUUAAUUCGAUGCAACGCGAAGAACCUUACCAGGGUUUGACAUCCUGCGAAUCUCUUGGAAACAGGAGAGUGCCUUCGGGAACGCAGUGACAGGUGGUGCAUGGCUGUCGUCAGCUCGUGUCGUGAGAUGUUGGGUUAAGUCCCGCAACGAGCGCAACCCACGUCUUUAGUUGCCAGCAUUUAGUUGGGCACUCUAGAGAGACUGCCGGUGAUAAACCGGAGGAAGGUGUGGAUGACGUCAAGUCAUCAUGCCCCUUACAUCCUGGGCUACACACGUACUACAAUGCUACGGACAAAGGGCAGCAAACUCGCGAGAGCUAGCA